This 128-nucleotide microRNA precursor is filed under the name Chlorocebus sabaeus (green monkey). RNAcentral's name for it is "miRNA (ENSCSAG00000023783.1)". The record is from RNAcentral. Lineage: Eukaryota; Metazoa; Chordata; Mammalia; Primates; Cercopithecidae.
CAAAUUAGGAUAAUAUCGUGGUAUAUUUGCAAGUUAGAAAUGAGUAUGUUGCAUAUAUUUAUUAAUAUAUUAAGUAAGAAAAUAUAAUAAAAAUUAUGUGCAGAUUAAUAUAAACAUGAUAAACAUUU